Molecule: long non-coding RNA, 535 nt
Organism: Carya illinoinensis
Lineage: Eukaryota; Viridiplantae; Streptophyta; Magnoliopsida; Fagales; Juglandaceae
Exons: 2
Source: RefSeq, a predicted model, not a curated record
UUAGGUUUUUCCAAUCAGUUCUUCAAUAUACCACUGGGGUUGCGCCCCUGCCGCGUCUCCGGCUGAUGUGGCAUAUGCCAUGUCAUCUAACUUUUUUUUUUAAAAAAAAAAGAAGAAGACGAAAGCGGGAACUAAAAUGAAAUGAAAUGGGUAUUGUUUUCAUUUUUGCGUGGGUUUCCAUUUUCUUUGAGCCACUGUUGAACUUCUUCUUCUCCUCGUCAGGUUGUUGCGGUCGCCGUCAUGGGAUAGUCCACAUCUCUGAGUCGCGGCCAUCGUCGUGGGUGAGAGAGCUAUUGGUCACGGUCAUUGUUGCAAGGGAGAGAGCGACUGGUUCAUCUGGUCCUUGGCUAUUGAAGAGAAAGAAAAUUACAUGAAAGGUAAUAACUUUGUUGUUAUUUCUUCAAGUUCUGUUAUUUCUUCGGUCGCCAUUGUUGAUCUAUUAAGCUUUUAUGCUCCGUGCGCUAUUGUCGAUUUCUAAAGUUGUAAAAAAUCUCUUUUUAUCUCUAUCUUAUAUCUGCCUUAUUUUUUGUUGCAA